RNAcentral lists this ribosomal RNA (253 nucleotides) under uncultured bacterium. RNAcentral describes it as "partial 16S ribosomal RNA". It matches the Rfam family "Bacterial small subunit ribosomal RNA", at positions 524 to 776 of the family's 1533-position model. The record is from RNAcentral.
UCCGGAGGGGGCUAGCGUUGUUCGGAAUUACUGGGCGUAAAGCGCACGUAGGCGGACUGUUAAGUCAGGGGUGAAAUCCCAGAGCUCAACUCUGGAACUGCCUUUGAUACUGGGUGUCUUGAGUAUGGAAGAGGUGAGUGGAAUUCCGAGUGUAGAGGUGAAAUUCGUAGAUAUUCGGAGGAACACCAGUGGCGAAGGCGGCUCACUGGUCCAUUACUGACGCUGAGGUGCGAAAGCGUGGGGAGCAAACAGG